This is a small nucleolar RNA of Astyanax mexicanus (Mexican tetra), 77 nucleotides long. Its record names the gene SNORD83. It matches the Rfam family "Small nucleolar RNA SNORD83". Rfam says of the family: U83 (SNORD83) and U84 (SNORD84) are members of the C/D class of snoRNA which contain the C (UGAUGA) and D (CUGA) box motifs. They act as guanine methylation guides but lack complementarity to ribosomal RNA. U83 and U84 are spliced from introns 5 and 4 of the BAT1 gene in mammals. The record is from Ensembl. Lineage: Eukaryota; Metazoa; Chordata; Actinopteri; Characiformes; Acestrorhamphidae.
GCCACAUGAUGAUUUAUAGAUUACAUUAACACUCUGUGUAAAGAUGACUUCCUAUCUAUCACCCAAGACUGAUGGCU